GCUCCCUUCGUCUAGUGGCCUAGGACGCCGGCCUCUCACGCCGGUAACAGGGGUUCGAGUCCCCUAGGGAGCG
This 73-nucleotide transfer RNA is filed under the name Nitrospira sp. RNAcentral describes it as "tRNA-Glu". It matches the Rfam family "tRNA". From Rfam's summary of the family: Transfer RNA (tRNA) molecules are approximately 80 nucleotides in length. Their secondary structure includes four short double-helical elements and three loops (D, anti-codon, and T loops). RNAcentral also lists the same sequence under 3 other names. The record is from RNAcentral. Lineage: Bacteria; Pseudomonadati; Nitrospirota; Nitrospiria; Nitrospirales; Nitrospiraceae.